RNAcentral lists this ribosomal RNA (460 nucleotides) under uncultured bacterium. RNAcentral describes it as "partial 16S ribosomal RNA". It matches the Rfam family "Bacterial small subunit ribosomal RNA", at positions 338 to 795 of the family's 1533-position model. The record is from RNAcentral.
CCUACGGGAGGCAGCAGUGAGGAAUAUUGGUCAAUGGACGAGAGUCUGAACCAGCCAAGUAGCGUGAAGGAUGACUGCCCUAUGGGUUGUAAACUUCUUUUAUAUGGGAAUAAAAUGUUCCACGUGUGGGAUUUUGUAUGUACCAUAUGAAUAAGGAUCGGCUAACUCCGUGCCAGCAGCCGCGGUAAUACGGAGGAUCCGAGCGUUAUCCGGAUUUAUUGGGUUUAAAGGGAGCGUAGGUGGAUUGUUAAGUCAGUUGUGAAAGUUUGCGGCUCAACCGUAAAAUUGCAGUUGAUACUGGCAGUCUUGAGUACAGUAGAGGUGGGCGGAAUUCGUGGUGUAGCGGUGAAAUGCUUAGAGAUCACGAAGAACUCCGAUUGCGAAGGCAGUUCACUGGACUGCAACUGACACUGAGGCUCGAAAGUGUGGGUAUCAAACAGGAUUAGAUACCCGAGUAGUC